This 431-nucleotide ribosomal RNA is filed under the name uncultured soil bacterium. Its description in RNAcentral is "bacterial SSU rRNA". It matches the Rfam family "Bacterial small subunit ribosomal RNA", at positions 26 to 457 of the family's 1533-position model. The record is from RNAcentral.
AGGACGAACGCUGGCGGCGUGCUUAACACAUGCAAGUCGAGCGGUAAGGCCCUUCGGGGUACACGAGCGGCGAACGGGUGAGUAACACGUGGGUAACCUGCCCUGUACUCUGGGAUAAGCCUGGGAAACUAGGUCUAAUACCGGAUAUGACACUUCAUCGCAUGGUGGGGUGUGGAAAGUUCCGGCGGUACAGGAUGGACCCGCGGCCUAUCAGCUUGUUGGUGGGGUAAUGGCCUACCAAGGCGACGACGGGUAGCCGGCCUGAGAGGGCGACCGGCCACGACUGGGACUGAGACACGGCCCAGACCUCCGUACGGGAGGCAGCAGGUGGGAAUAUGCACAAGUGGGACAAAGCCUGACUGCGAGCGACGCCGACGUGAGGGAUGACGGCCGUUCGGGUCUAAACCGUUCUUUACCGAAGGUUACGGGAC